CACUAUAAGAACACAGCGGCAUGAGAUUUGAGUAGCCGGGGCUAAUUCUGCGCAAACUUGGCGUCUUACGGUGGAGAAAGCUGCAGAAACUCCGGCAGACAUUAGUGUGAAAAACAUUUGGAAAUAUAAGGAGACAGAGCAGCAUAUGUGUCUCAUUUGUGUGGGCGAGGAGCGCAGAGGAGAGUGUGCCCGGCUACAGUCCCAAGGCAAAGCGGCAGCUCUACACAUGGCAACUUGGCAAGAUAUAUAGUGGCCACUGGCCAGUGGGCUUGUGUGUGUGGAUUUAUGGGAUCAUGUGCCCCCCUCUACUGACUCCAGUAGAAGGUGUAGGCACCAGAAAGGUUGUUAAUAAACAGAGAAGAAUUUCUUUGGUGGUGAGGUCCUGGAAGCUGGAGUAUUCUGGAAAGAACAU
Molecule: long non-coding RNA, 412 nt
Organism: Xenopus laevis (African clawed frog)
Lineage: Eukaryota; Metazoa; Chordata; Amphibia; Anura; Pipidae
Exons: 3
Source: RefSeq, a predicted model, not a curated record